AUCCAAUCUAUUAACAUACAGAACAUUAGCACCAUAAGAAUCGAACAAAUUACAAUAAUUAAUGUAUGUGGUUCAUACAUCAAUAACAUUCUCUAGCAAUGUACCAAUAUUAGCAUAGAUACACCGUUAACAAACUACAAAAAUUGAACAUAUAAGCUCCAAAUUCUGACCCAUUUACAACAUUUCAGCAUUCAAAAAUGGCCUCCAUGCCCAUUCACAUCCAAAAUCUUUACGGGUCAUACACAUCAACCAUUCAAAUCUCCAAAGACCAUAACUUAGAGAACCUGUAAAAUUAUUUUGCCCACUAGCACAUCAUACAUAAAUAAAAGUCAUUGUAUUUGAAAGUAUGUAAUACAAGAACUUCACUAUUCCUUGACUCUUUCCCUACACCCUCUAGAGAAAGGAGUCUUCGUCAAAGCUGUAGGCACUCAAACGCGUGUCGAGAGCUUCUUCGUUGCAACGGCAUCAUCAACCACAUUUGGUACGGCAGUCACCAAUGGCAUAUCCAGGUCAGCCCUUCCUAUGGACGAAGCAAAGUUCAUCUACAAAAAUCAGUAACAUUCAUACAUGUUAAUUCAAAACAAACCUUUAAGAUUAGCUUAACAAAUUCGGCAUAUGACUUCAAAUGUAGAUAGAAGUUACUCAAUUGUCGAGAAUUCUAGUGACAAUUCUUUUCGACAGAUGGUUCCAUAACUAUAUAGAGUGGCAAUUACAUUUCAACGAGUAUACUUACAAAGAGUGUAAUAUUUCGAUUAUUUGUAGGUAGUGAAAAGUGUAAUGCAUGAUCAAGCAAAUAUAUUAAUAAAGAACAUGCUCUAGCAAAAUGAGGGACAUCACCCAUGCAUAUAAUAUGUAUUCGCUUAUAAAUGGUGGUGUCAAAUUAUACGCGAUGAAAUAACUUUAAACAAGUGCUCAAUGAAAUUGAGGAGAGGGUGUAUAAUGUUCAUGUAUGUAUAAGUACUCAGAUAAUAUGAUAAACUCAAGUUCCAACAUUUGAAAUGCAAAGAGAAAUGACAAGCUUCAUUCAUUACAAUCCAUAGGAGACAUACCCCUCCAUUCGAAUGACACAAACGUGAAUGGAACAAAAUCAACUGAAUUUUCAAAAACAUACGAGGAAGCAAACCCACUUGAAGAAAUGUAGUAUGAAAGCCUCCAAUGUAUUCAUUAUUUUCAAAAUAAAAAACAUUAGUAUACAGAAAGAAUAGAACACCCUUAUCAAAUUCAUAAGUAUAAGUAAAGAAAGAGAGUAAAAUAGUGUAAUAAGUACAUGACAUUAAAGUUUAAUCAACAUUUGAAGUUCCAUAAAACAAAUUAAUAGCCUAAAUGUAUGAAUUCCAGCAAUAUUCCAUUUGCAUAUUCAACCUAAACUUUUGAAUAUUUGAGUACAAACAUUGGCAGGCAAACUAAUAUAAAUACAAGAAUAAUAAAAGCUUAUUACGAAACUUACACACGGAUCUUCGGAAGAAUUCAUCAAAACUAAUAGGAACCCAACACAAACCUACAACAAAAUCCAAGUAUUUUACAUUUCACACUCACGAAAUUGAAAAGUAAACAAUAGAAAAUUUCAUUAAUGGAGUGAAAAUGGAAAGACGGGCUCCGGCGAUGACCGCAAGUUUGACAAAAUAAAUCCACUUCACACUCACGAAAUCGAAAAACAAACAAAAGAAAAUUUCAUUAAUGGAGUGAAAAAUGGAACGACGAGUUUCAAUGAUGACUGAAGGGCUUCAUCGAAAAUUGUUUUGUCGUCAAUUGGCGGACGGCGCAAAGUUCGAGUAAGAAAGAGGGGAGUGCAUUUAGCUCCCAUUUGGCUUCCAUUAGAACUCAUCAAUUUAAUUUAAAUAUCUCUCUUUUCUAUUUUCAAUCACACAAUAUUCAAUAAAAUAAUAUUUCACGCAAAUUGAAAUUUUUUCAUUCUUUUACAACUAUCAAUUUUUCAAAAAAAAUUAUUUCCCCACUAUAAAUCCAAGCAACGGGGGCCAAGCAGGAGCUUAGGGUUAGGUUCGUAUUAAAUGAG
RNAcentral lists this long non-coding RNA (2014 nucleotides) under Olea europaea subsp. europaea. The record is from RNAcentral. Lineage: Eukaryota; Viridiplantae; Streptophyta; Magnoliopsida; Lamiales; Oleaceae.